GUGCUCACUUCAGCAGAACAUAUACAAAAAUUGGAAUGAUACGGAGAAGAUUAGCCUGGGUCCUGUGCAAGAAUGACAUGCAAAGUUGUGAACAGUGAUGAGUCUGC
Small nuclear RNA from Loxodonta africana (African savanna elephant), 107 nucleotides. The record is from Ensembl. Lineage: Eukaryota; Metazoa; Chordata; Mammalia; Proboscidea; Elephantidae.